UCCCCGUUACCGGGGCAGUCUGAAUAGAAAAAUACAACUAUUCAUAAGGGUUGCGCUCGUUGAUGGACUUAACCAAACAUCUCACGACACGAGCUGACGACGGCCAUGCAACACCUGUCACUUGGUUCAAUAAAGCACUCACUGCUUUCGCAGUAAUUCCAAGGAUGUCAAGUCCAGGUAAGGUUCUUCGGUUACCAUCGAAUUAAAGAACAUGAUCCACCGCUUGUGCGGGUCCCCGUCAAUUCCUUUAUGUUUUAGCCUUGCGGCCGUACUCCACAGGCGGGAUGCUUAACGCGUUAGCUUCGCUACGGAAGGGGUCGAUACCCCCCACAGCUAGCAUCCAUCGUUUACGGCGUGGACUAC
RNAcentral lists this unclassified non-coding RNA (363 nucleotides) under uncultured bacterium. RNAcentral's name for it is "contains 16S-23S intergenic spacer region". The record is from RNAcentral.